GAUGAACGCUGGCGGCGUGCCUAAUACAUGCAAGUCGAGCGAACAGAUGAGGAGCUUGCUCCUCUGACGUUAGCGGCGGACGGGUGAGUAACACGUGGAUAACCUACCUAUAAGACUGGGAUAACUUCGGGAAACCGGAGCUAAUACCGGAUAAUAUAUUGAACCGCAUGGUUCAAUAGUGAAAGACGGUUUUGCUGUCACUUAUAGAUGGAUCCGCGCUGCAUUAGCUAGUUGGUAAGGUAACGGCUUACCAAGGCAACGAUGCAUAGCCGACCUGAGAGGGUGAUCGGCCACACUGGAACUGAGACACGGUCCAGACUCCUACGGGAGGCAGCAGUAGGGAAUCUUCCGCAAUGGGCGAAAGCCUGACGGAGCAACGCCGCGUGAGUGAUGAAGGUCUUCGGAUCGUAAAACUCUGUUAUUAGGGAAGAACAUAUGUGUAAGUAACUGUGCACAUCUUGACGGUACCUAAUCAGAAAGCCACGGCUAACUACGUG
Molecule: ribosomal RNA, 497 nt
Filed under: uncultured bacterium
Lineage: Bacteria
Description: partial 16S ribosomal RNA
Rfam family: Bacterial small subunit ribosomal RNA
Source: RNAcentral